RNAcentral lists this small RNA (490 nucleotides) under Menispora glauca. RNAcentral describes it as "eukaryotic LSU rRNA". The stretch from base 145 to 298 matches the Rfam family "5.8S ribosomal RNA". Lineage: Eukaryota; Fungi; Ascomycota; Sordariomycetes; Chaetosphaeriales; Chaetosphaeriaceae. The record is from RNAcentral.
CGCAAGACUCCCGUAACCACUGUGAACCUACCUCAAGUCGUUGCCUCGGCGGGUGCUCAGGACUGUGUCUAGGGCGCUCCGCCCGCCGGUGGCCCACUACUCUGUCUCGCGCGUUGGCAUCUCCGAGUCAUUUUAACGAGUCAAAACUUUCAACAACGGAUCUCUUGGUUCUGGCAUCGAUGAAGAACGCAGCGAAAUGCGAUAAGUAAUGUGAAUUGCAGAAUUCAGUGAAUCAUCGAAUCUUUGAACGCACAUUGCGCCCGCCAGUAUCCUGGCGGGCAUGCCUGUUCGAGCGUCAUUUCAACCCUCAGGCUCUGCCUGGCGUUGGGGGCCUGCGCUGCAGCCCCCUAAAGACAGCGGCGGGUGCGCCCUGAAACUGAACGUAGUAUUGUAUCUCGUUCUGGUGCAGGGCGUACUCCGGCCGGAAAACCCUUCUAUGGUUGACCUCGGAUCAGGUAGGAAUACCCGCUGAACUUAAGCAUAUCAAUAA